Molecule: ribosomal RNA, 253 nt
Filed under: uncultured bacterium
Lineage: Bacteria
Description: partial 16S ribosomal RNA
Rfam family: Bacterial small subunit ribosomal RNA
Source: RNAcentral
UACGUAGGGUGCGAGCGUUAAUCGAAAUUACUGGGCGUAAAGCGUGCGCAGGCGGCGCGUUAAGACAGGUGUGAAAGCCCCGAGCUUAACUUGGGAAUUGCGCUUGUGACUGGCGUGCUGGAGUGUGGCAGAGGGAGGUGGAAUUCCACGUGUAGCAGUGAAAUGCGUAGAGAUGUGGAGGAAUACCGAUGGCGAAGGCAGCCCCCUGGGAUAACACUGACGCUCAUGCACGAAAGCGUGGGGAGCAAACAGG